This 222-nucleotide ribosomal RNA is filed under the name uncultured bacterium. Its description in RNAcentral is "partial 16S ribosomal RNA". It matches the Rfam family "Bacterial small subunit ribosomal RNA", at positions 328 to 545 of the family's 1533-position model. The record is from RNAcentral.
ACGCUCGACACCUACGGAGGCAGCAGUGAGGAAUAUUGGUCAAUGGGCGCUAGCCUGAACCAGCCAAGUAGCGUGAAGGAUGAAGGCUCUAUGGGUCGUAAACUUCUUUUAUAUAAGAAUAAAGUGCAGUAUGUAUACUGUUUUGUAUGUAUUAUAUGAAUAAGGAUCGGCUAACUCCGUGGCAGCAGCCGACGGUAAUCUGAGGCGGGCGUGGACGAAGGC